Molecule: transfer RNA, 73 nt
Filed under: Canis lupus familiaris (dog)
Lineage: Eukaryota; Metazoa; Chordata; Mammalia; Carnivora; Canidae
Also listed under: 1 other name
Rfam family: tRNA
About the family: Transfer RNA (tRNA) molecules are approximately 80 nucleotides in length.
Source: Rfam by way of RNAcentral
ACCUGGUUGGCUCAGUCGGUAGAGCCCACGACUCUUGAUCUUGAGGUUGUGAGUUGGAACCCCAUGUUGGGUG